AGAGUUUGAUCCUGGCUCAGGAUGAACGCUAGCGGCAGGCUUAACACAUGCAAGUCGAGGGGUAACGGGGAAGCUUGCUUCCGCCGACGACCGGCGCACGGGUGCGUAACGCGUAUACAAUCUACCUUAUACUGGGGUAUAGCCUUUAGAAAUGAAGAUUAACCCCCCAUAGUCUCUUAGAGUGGCAUCACUUCUAGAGUAAAGGUUACGGUAUAAGAUGAGUAUGCGUUCUAUUAGUUUGUUUGUGUGGUAACGGCACACCAAGACUACGAUAGAUAGGGGCCCUGAGAGGGGGAUCCCCCACACUGGUACUGAGACACGGACCAGACUCCUACGGGAGGCAGCAGUGAGGAAUAUUGGACAAUGGAGGCAACUCUGAUCCAGCCAUGCCGCGUGCAGGAAGACUGCCCUAUGGGUUGUAAACUGCUUUUAUACAGGAAGAAACACCUCUACGUGUAGAGGCUUGACGGUACUGUAAGAAUAAGGAUCGGCUAACUCCGUGCCAGCAGCCGCGGUAAUACGGAGGAUCCAAGCGUUAUCCGGAAUCAUUGGGUUUAAAGGGUCCGUAGGUGGAUAAUUAAGUCAGAGGUGAAAUCUUGCAGCUCAACUGUAAAAUUGCCUUUGAAACUGGUUAUCUUGAGUUAUUAUGAAGUAGUUAGAAUAUGUAGUGUAGCGGUGAAAUGCAUAGAUAUUACAUAGAAUACCAAUUGCGAAGGCAGAUUACUAAUAAUCAACUGACACUGAUGGACGAAAGCGUGGGUAGCGAACAGGAUUAGAUACCCUGGUAGUCCACGCCGUAAACGAUGGUUACUAGCUAUUUGGACUUCGGUCUGAGUGGCUAAGCGAAAGUGAUAAGUAACCCACCUGGGGAGUACGUUCGCAAGAAUGAAACUCAAAGGAAUUGACGGGGGCCCGCACAAGCGGUGGAGCAUGUGGUUUAAUUCGAUGAUACGCGAGGAACCUUACCAGGGCUUAAAUGUAAGUUGCAUUAGCUAGAGAUAGCUAUUUCUUCGGACCACUUACAAGGUGCUGCAUGGUUGUCGUCAGCUCGUGCCGUGAGGUGUCAGGUUAAGUCCUAUAACGAGCGCAACCCCUGUUGUUAGUUGCCAGCGAGUCAUGUCGGGAACUCUAACAAGACUGCCAGUGCAAACUGUGAGGAAGGUGGGGAUGACGUCAAAUCAUCACGGCCCUUACGUCCUGGGCUACACACGUGCUACAAUGGUAGGUACAGAGAGCAGCCACUGCGCGAGCAGGAGCGAAUCUAUAAAACCUAUCACAGUUCGGAUCGGAGUCUGCAACUCGACUCCGUGAAGCUGGAAUCGCUAGUAAUCGGAUAUCAGCCAUGAUCCGGUGAAUACGU
Molecule: ribosomal RNA, 1360 nt
Filed under: uncultured Flavobacteriia bacterium
Lineage: Bacteria; Pseudomonadati; Bacteroidota; Flavobacteriia
Description: bacterial SSU rRNA
Rfam family: Bacterial small subunit ribosomal RNA
Source: RNAcentral